CCUACGGGUGGCAGCAGUGAGGAAUAUUGGUCAAUGGACGCAAGUCUGAACCAGCCAUGCCGCGUGCAGGAAGACGGCUCUAUGAGUUGUAACUGCUUUUGUACGAGGGUAAACGCAGAUACGCGUAUCCGUCUGAAAGUAUCCUACGAAUAAGGAUCGGCUAACUCCGUGCCAGCAGCCGCGGUAAUACGGAGGAUUCAAGCGUUAUCCGGGUUUAUUGGGUUUAAAGGGUGCGUAGGCGGUCGGAUAAGUUAGAUGUGAAAUACCAAGGCUCAACUUCGGAAUUGCCUCUGAUACUGUUCGGCUAGAGAGUAGUUGCGGUAGGCGGAAUGUAUGGUGUAGCGGUGAAAUGCUUAGAGAUCAUACAGAACACCGAUUGCGAAGGCAGCUUACCAAGCUACUUCUGACGUUGAGGCACGAAAGCGUGGGGAGCAAACAGGAUUAGAUACCCCUGUAGUC
This 459-nucleotide ribosomal RNA is filed under the name uncultured bacterium. RNAcentral describes it as "partial 16S ribosomal RNA". It matches the Rfam family "Bacterial small subunit ribosomal RNA", at positions 338 to 795 of the family's 1533-position model. The record is from RNAcentral.